Molecule: transfer RNA, 82 nt
Filed under: Termitomyces sp. T159_Od127
Lineage: Eukaryota; Fungi; Basidiomycota; Agaricomycetes; Agaricales; Lyophyllaceae
Description: tRNA-Gln
Rfam family: tRNA
About the family: Transfer RNA (tRNA) molecules are approximately 80 nucleotides in length.
Source: RNAcentral
GGUUCUAUAGUGUAGUGGUUAUCACUCGAGAUUCUGAUUUAUCAUAUUUCUCGAAACCCAGGUUCGAGCCCUGGUAGGACCU